Ictalurus punctatus (channel catfish) is the source of this 486-nucleotide long non-coding RNA. RefSeq lists it as uncharacterized. The record is from RefSeq and is a predicted model, not a curated record. Lineage: Eukaryota; Metazoa; Chordata; Actinopteri; Siluriformes; Ictaluridae. The transcript has 3 exons.
GAGAUGUGUUUUUCAAAUGAAAUUGUACAAAAACGACAGAAGUCACCGACGGAACAAAAAUAAAAAAAAAAUUUGUCUUUGAGAGAAAAGCUAAAUGAGGUAGCUGUUAAAUCACGCUGACGGAACAACUGCGCGUUGAUAUUUCUGAAAUUUUACACUGCAUCAACGUUGAAGAACGUUUUUUUCCCCUUGAGGUUUCGAAGAAGAUACAAUAUACAGAUCCAGAACGUCAGGGGCAUUAUCGCUCUGUGAUCUCGUUGCAGGCGAAUUGAAAAAGACAUAGAGUGGAGAAGCCUUUGUUUGUAAUGACAGCGUCAAGACGCUUCCUGUAUGAAGAAAUUAAUCGGCCGCAGUAUUCAGGUGUGAUUUUGGCCCAUUCUUCUAAACAUAUUGUCUUUAAAUCUUGUUCAAUUGGAUUCAAGUCAGGUGAUUGACUGGGUCAUUCUAAUGCCUUGAUUUUUUUUCUCUUACACCAAUUGAGAGUUU